CCGAGUUUACAAACUCCCCAAACCCUUUGUGAACCUUACCAUAUCGUUGCUUUCGGGCGGGACCGCCCCGGCGCCCUCGCGGCCCGGGAACCAGGCGCCCGCCGGAGGCCCCAAAACUCUUAUGGUCUUUUAGUGGUUUUCUCCUCUGAGUGACACAUAAAACAAAAUAAAUAA
RNAcentral lists this unclassified non-coding RNA (174 nucleotides) under soil metagenome. RNAcentral describes it as "partial internal transcribed spacer 1". The record is from RNAcentral.